GGGGAAUAUUGGACAAUGGGGGUAACCCUGAUCCAGCCAUGCCGCGUGUGUGAAGAAGGCCUUCGGGUUGUAAAGCACUUUAAGCGGGGAGGAAGGCCUGAUGGCUAAUAUCCAUCGGGAUUGACGUUAUCCGCAGAAUAAGCACCGGCAAACUUCGUGCCAGCAGCCGCGGUAAUAUGAAGGGUGCGAGCGUUAAUCGGAAUUACUGGGCGUAAAGCGCGCGUAGGUGGUUAAGUAAGCGAUCUGUGAAAGCCUCGGGCUUAACCUGGGAACUGCAGGUCGAACUGCUUGGCUAGAGUAUGGUAGAGGGGUGUGGAAUUUCCUGUGUAGCGGUGAAAUGCGUAGAUAUAGGAAGGAACAUCAGUGGCGAAGGCGACAUCCUGGACCGAUACUGACACUGAGGCGCGAAAGCGUGGGUAGCGAAC
RNAcentral lists this ribosomal RNA (425 nucleotides) under uncultured bacterium. RNAcentral's name for it is "bacterial SSU rRNA". It matches the Rfam family "Bacterial small subunit ribosomal RNA", at positions 356 to 773 of the family's 1533-position model. The record is from RNAcentral.